GGCUGUCAGCACAAGGUACAACCCUGGCCAUCUCCAGAACACAGCCUCUGUGUGCUGACUCUGAGGAAACACUUCCCAGAAGACUUCACCUCAAUGACGCUGGCCUCAUCAUAAACACAGCUGCUUCCUCAUCCCCAUAGCUUGCUAGCAUUUUAUAACCACCGUAAAUUAUAUUACACCCAAUAAAAGCUUUUUCCGGUGACAAUCAGCAUAAAAACAUCAGCUAUACACUGCAGAUUUAAAGGAAAGUACUGCUGAGUAUU
Molecule: non-coding RNA, 263 nt
Organism: Peromyscus maniculatus bairdii (prairie deer mouse)
Lineage: Eukaryota; Metazoa; Chordata; Mammalia; Rodentia; Cricetidae
Source: RefSeq, a predicted model, not a curated record